GACGAACGCUGGCGGCGUGCCUAAUACAUGCAAGUAGAACGCACAGUUUAUACCGUAGCUUGCUACACCAUAAACUGUGAGUUGCGAACGGGUGAGUAACGCGUAGGUAACCUGCCUGGUAGCGGGGGAUAACUAUUGGAAACGAUAGCUAAUACCGCAUAAUAUUAAUUAUUGCAUGAUAAUUGAUUGAAAGAUGCAAUUGCAUCACUACCAGAUGGACCUGCGUUGUAUUAGCUAGUAGGUGAGGUAACGGCUCACCUAGGCGACGAUACAUAGCCGACCUGAGAGGGUGAUCGGCCACACUGGGACUGAGACACGGCCCAGACUCCUACGGGAGGCAGCAGUAGGGAAUCUUCGGCAAUGGACGAAAGUCUGACCGAGCAACGCCGCGUGAGUGAAGAAGGGUUUCGGAUCGUAAAGCUCUGUUGUAAGAGAAGAACGGGUGUGAGAGUGGAAAGUUCACACUGUGACGGUAUCUGACCAGAAAGGGACGGCUAACUACGUG
Molecule: ribosomal RNA, 505 nt
Filed under: uncultured bacterium
Lineage: Bacteria
Description: partial 16S ribosomal RNA
Rfam family: Bacterial small subunit ribosomal RNA
Source: RNAcentral